RNAcentral lists this ribosomal RNA (363 nucleotides) under uncultured eukaryote. Its description in RNAcentral is "SSU rRNA". It matches the Rfam family "Eukaryotic small subunit ribosomal RNA", at positions 567 to 945 of the family's 1831-position model. The record is from RNAcentral.
CCAGCAGCCGCGGUAAUUCCAGCUCCGCAAGUGUAUUCCUAUACUGUUGCGUUUAAAUAGCUCGUAGUUGCAUCUGCGUGUUUAGCGCGCGGUGCCAUUUGUUUUGGUUACUGUGUCGCGGCACUUCAGGCUAGUCGACGAUGCUUUUAUAAGCAUGGUUGCUGGCAAGUUUACUUUGAACAAAUCAGAGUGCUCAAAACGGGCGUUUCGCUCGGAUGUUCUUGCAUGGAAUAAUGGAAUAGGACCGCGCGUUCUAUUUUGUUGGUUUUCGGGACGCGGGUAAUGAUUAAGAGGGACAGACGGGGGCAUUUGUACUGCGACGUGAGAGGUGAAAUUCUUGGAUCGUCGCAAGACAGACUACUG